GACGAACGCUGGCGGCGUGCCUAAUACAUGCAAGUUGAGCGCUGAAGGUUGGUACUUGUACCAACUGGAUUAGCAGCGAACGGGUGAGUAACGCGUGGGGAAUCUGCCUUUGAGCGUGGGACAACAUUUGGAAACGAAUGCUAAUACCGCAUAAAAACUUUAAACACAAGUUUUAAGUUUGAAAGAUGCAAUUGCAUCACUCUAAGAUUAUCCCGCGUUGUAUUAGCUAGUUGGUGAGGUAAAGGCUCACCAAGGCGAUGAUACAUAGCCGACCUGAGAGGGUGAUCGGCCACAUUGGGACUGGGACAAGGCCCAAACUCCUAAGGGAGGCAGCAGUAGGGAAUCUUCGGCAAUGGACGAAAGUCUGACCGGGCAACGCCGCGUGAGUGAAGAAAGUUUUCGGAUCGUAAAACUCUGUUGGUAGAGAAGAACGUUGGUGGGAGUGGAAAGCUCAUCAAGUGACGGUAACUACCCAGAAAGGGACGGCUAACUACGUG
Molecule: ribosomal RNA, 497 nt
Filed under: uncultured bacterium
Lineage: Bacteria
Description: partial 16S ribosomal RNA
Rfam family: Bacterial small subunit ribosomal RNA
Source: RNAcentral